UUGACCUCAAAUCAGGUAGGACUACCCGCUGAACUUAAGCAUAUCAAUAAGCGGAGGAAAAGAAACUAACAAGGAUUCCCCUAGUAACUGCGAGUGAAGCGGGAAAAGCUCAAAUUUAAAAUCUGGCGGUCUUUGGCUGUCCGAGUUGUAAUCUAGAGAAGUGUUAUCCGCGCUGGACCGUGUACAAGUCUCCUGGAAUGGAGCGUCAUAGAGGGUGAGAAUCCCGUCUUUGACACGGACUGCCAGGGCUUUGUGAUGCGCUCUCAAAGAGUCGAGUUGUUUGGGAAUGCAGCUCAAAAUGGGUGGUAAAUUCCAUCUAAAGCUAAAUAUUGGCGAGAGACCGAUAGCGAACAAGUACCGUGAGGGAAAGAUGAAAAGAACUUUGGAAAGAGAGUUAAACAGUACGUGAAAUUGCUGAAAGGGAAACGCUUGAAGUCAGUCGCGUUGUUUGGGAAUCAACCUUGCUUUUGCUGGGUGUACUUUCCAGAUCGACGGGCCAGCAUCAAUUUUGACCGUUGGAUAAAGGUUGGAGGAAUGUGGCAUCUUCGGAUGUGUUAUAGCCUCCAGUUGCAUACAAUGGUUGGGAUUGAGGAACUCAGCACGCCGCAAGGCCGGGUACUUGUACCACGUUCGUGCUUAGGAUGCUGGCAUAAUGGCUUUAAUCGACCCGUC
Molecule: ribosomal RNA, 672 nt
Filed under: Galerina sp. MLB-2010a
Lineage: Eukaryota; Fungi; Basidiomycota; Agaricomycetes; Agaricales; Galerinaceae
Description: eukaryotic LSU rRNA
Rfam family: Eukaryotic large subunit ribosomal RNA
Source: RNAcentral